UCUGUCACUAGAGUGAGGGAAGGGGGUGACUAGUGGCAGAGUGAGGGAAGGAAGGGGUGACUAGUGACAAAGUGAGGGAGGUGGUGACUGUCACUAGUCACCACCUCCCUCACUCUGUCACUAGUCACCACCUCCCUCUGUCACUACUCCCUCCUUCUGUCACUAGUCACCCCCUCCCUCACUCUGUCACCUGUCACCCCCUCACUCUGUCACUAGUCACCCCCUCACUCUGUCACCAGUCACCCCCUUACUCUGUCACUAGUCACCCCCUCACUCUAGUGACAGA
Molecule: non-coding RNA, 286 nt
Organism: Pelobates cultripes (western spadefoot toad)
Lineage: Eukaryota; Metazoa; Chordata; Amphibia; Anura; Pelobatidae
Source: the annotation of a GenBank genome assembly